CGGACGGUUCCUGUUCCGCCUCGAAGCGAUCCGGGGCUCCAACUCUAGCGACCAGUUCCUCGGUCUCUGUGGCGGUGGUGGCAGAGCCCGCGCAACGAGAGGGUGGUGGUGUGCGUGUCCUCCCAUGCUUGCAACCUUCCAUCCCCUGUUCGAAUGGUUGGUUCUCUGUUGUGAUCAAUGACGAAUAUUGCCCUGCUGGCUUCUUUCAACUGUUUAUAGCUUGAAUUGUUUGGUUGAUUUGGUAGCUGAUCUGAGUAGGGAUUCCGAGCAUUUCUUUUCGCCCCUUUCUUGUGGCUUCCUUUCAUUAACGAUCGAUUUCUUUGGUGUAGUUUUUCGUUUCGGGAUUAAUGGAACGAAAUGGGUGGAUGCCCUGAGAAAUUUAGGUUGCACCCGACAAUUUGAUGCUUGGGAAGGUGAGACCAACUUGAUGCAGCGUCGGUAGCAUCAUCUUGGUGGGGAUCUCAUUGUUGCACAAGGAUCAAAUACGUUGCUAGUCAUCGAACUAUCGAUGCCAUUAGAUGGCGUCCCGCCUUUGCUUUCUUGUCCAAAAACCUGAGAGGUUUGUUUUGGGGCAGAGGCAACAAUGGCGGUAGAACUGUUGUGUUUGGGCGGAAGGAUUGAUAACUAUUUGAUGAUUAGGCAAUGCUAAUAUUGCGAAUGAUGAUUGAUGUUAGCAUUGGAUAAAUCGUCUCUGGACGAUGAUAUGCGAUUAUUAGCUCAACCUGUGGUCAGGUCAGGUGCAACUUAACACACACAGUUGAAGAUUUGUAGGUGUCGAAAAUGGUGCCGAUUAAGGCCAAUAUUGAGAAGCUAAUGGCAGAACCUAACUCCUAUGACCCCUAGAAUGGACAUUAUUUAAUUGGACAUAGGUUGAGCUGCCUGAAUGCUUAAAUGGUUAUUUAAUGUGAUGCUCUUGCCUAUUAUGACCAGUAUGGAAUUUUUUUUCAGAUCAGGAUGUUUUUUAUGGCUUUUGGGUUGUGAAUCAUCAUCAACUAAGCUGUUGUGUUGCUAUAAUUAUUUAACUGGCUCUCUCUCUCUCUCUCUCUCUCUCUCUCU
Molecule: long non-coding RNA, 1056 nt
Filed under: Musa acuminata (dwarf banana)
Lineage: Eukaryota; Viridiplantae; Streptophyta; Magnoliopsida; Zingiberales; Musaceae
Description: long non-coding RNA (MACU_LNC010860)
Source: RNAcentral